GUUGCGAUAGUAAUCCUGCUCAGUAUGAGAGGAACUGCACUUUCAGAUGUUUCAGAUGCUCUUUCUGUGCUUGGCUGAGAAGGCAGUGGUGCAAAGCCACCACCUGUGGGAUUAUGAGUGCACGCCUCAAAGUCAGAAUCUCCCUGAUCUCAGC
Molecule: non-coding RNA, 154 nt
Filed under: Lepisosteus oculatus (spotted gar)
Lineage: Eukaryota; Metazoa; Chordata; Actinopteri; Semionotiformes; Lepisosteidae
Description: Eukaryotic large subunit ribosomal RNA
Rfam family: Eukaryotic large subunit ribosomal RNA
Source: Rfam by way of RNAcentral